This 25-nucleotide non-coding RNA is filed under the name Chlorella sorokiniana. Lineage: Eukaryota; Viridiplantae; Chlorophyta; Trebouxiophyceae; Chlorellales; Chlorellaceae. The record is from RNAcentral. RNAcentral also lists the same sequence under 222 other names.
AGGUGAACCUGCGGAAGGAUCAUUG